AUGCUGCGUGCUGAUCGACCCCCCAGGAGAAAUGGAUUACGCGGCGACAGCGCCGCUCCAGAGUUCAGUGGAAGGUCAGAAGAUGACCAUCAUCAACACCUGCCAGUUGUUGCACCUGAGGUUCAGUCUGAUCUGGCUCUGGUAAACUACAGGCAGACAUUUCCAUUAGAUGAGAGGAAGAGCAGGAGCUGCCAGUCAUGCCACAGGUCACCAUGCUCUUGCGGUGGCGACGCGCCUCGCCCCGACUUGUGCCCGACGCUCCCUGCCAAGAUGAUGAUCUUGGAGUUCCUGAUAAGAAGCCUGAGGCACCCAACAAGAACCCACAACGUGAGUGAUCUCGACGACUUGAUCAGCGGCGGAGCCAGCACCGGGAAUGUCACCCUCGGUCCUUCGGACAAGAUGAUGCUGGACUCCUUACAUGCGCUGGUGAACGCCAAGACAAGGCCGACGAAGAGCCCCUCGUUCUUCCUCCCGGGGGGCAAGAUGAGGAAAACCCGGUCAAGAUCCCACACCAUAACACAGUCAGAGAUACUGAACCUGAUAUCCCCGGAGACAUGGGAGAUGUCCUCCCACGGGGCAUCAUCGCCGUCGAAGAGAAGUGCGGCGGAGCUCGCCGCGCAUGAAGGGACGGCGCCUUCUUGCUCCGGCACGGCAUGUCUGAGGUCAAAUCAGCCUGGUCUGUCCUCAUACCCACCACCAUCAUCAUCUCUUAGUGCAGGCCUUCUGCAGUGCAUUUGGAAAGAUGGGCUCCCUCACUUUGAACUGUCAGUGGACAAUCCUAUGGCAGUGUACACUGCAAGCCCUGUCAAGAAGCCGCAUGGCGACGGCAAAGCCGCGGCCGCCGCCGACCACGUCUACCUGUUCCAUUCGGACGAGCAAGGGAAGAAGGACUGGAUGGGGAACUACUCGAGCAGCGUGUCGAAACUCGUCGGCAAGAUGAAGGUGACAAGCUCUCUGGUCCUGGGCUCAGACGGGUCAAGGUGUGUGGAGACCGAGUUUGUCAUGUAUGGCUCCCCUGAUGACUACCUGAGGCAGAUGCAGAGCGCCUACAGUGUUGCAAAGGGCAAGGGGCUGGUGAAGAGGGUGGCAGAGAUCAUGAGGUCGCCCAAUGCUUCCUCCAGCCCAAAACAUGCUGCAUGGGGAAGGUUUGGCAGACCUUCUUCCCCGCUGCGGUUCGACGACGAUGUGCGCGAAAUGCUCAAUGCCGAACUGGGCGGCGCUGGAAAGGCGACAGGGUUGGUGAGCCUCGCCGCUGACGAUCUGCCGACCAACCAGGAGGUGGCGGCGAUCGUGGUGAGGGAACGGCGGGAAGAGCCGGCCGUCGUCGGCGGCUGGGGCCUCAAGUUCCUUGAGAAGGCCGGAGGAGCCGCUCAUCCAGAGGAGAGUAAGAAGGCAAGGUGGUGCAUAAGCGCCAUUGUUCCAAGAGGCUACCACGGCGGCGUGGCAUCCGAGAAUGGCGGCCCAUCGGGGCUCGUCGAGCGAUGGCGGAACAGCGGCCGCUGCGAGUGCGGCGGGUGGGACCUCGGCUGCCCCAUCAGAGUGCUGAGCAACGACGGCGGCGGGUCGUCGCCGCCGCCUGAGGACGGUGCCAAAUCGGUGGAGCUGUCACCAGCGGGGGCGAGGAGCGGCGGCGAGCCGGCGGUGAGGCUGGUGAGCCUCGCGGAGGGCCUGUACAUCCUCUACUUUGACGCCGGCGUGGUCUCGCCGCUGCAGUGCUUCGCCGCCGGCGUAGCGGUGGUCCACAGCCAGGCGCCCCAGCUCCACCCAAAACUGUGA
Molecule: ribosomal RNA, 1776 nt
Filed under: Triticum aestivum (bread wheat)
Lineage: Eukaryota; Viridiplantae; Streptophyta; Magnoliopsida; Poales; Poaceae
Description: partial small subunit ribosomal RNA
Source: RNAcentral